UACGGGGGGAGCAAGCGUUGUUCGGAUUUACUGGGCGUAAAGCGCGUGUAGGCGGUUCGGUAAGUCCGCUGUGAAAGUCGGGGGCUCAACCCUCGGAUGCCGGUGGAUACUGUCGGACUAGAGUACGGAAGAGGCGAGUGGAAUUCCUGGUGUAGCGGUGAAAUGCGCAGAUAUCAGGAGGAACACCGAUUGCGAAGGCAGCUCGCUGGGACGUUACUGACGCUGAGACGCGAAAGCGUGGGGAGCAAACAGG
Molecule: ribosomal RNA, 253 nt
Filed under: uncultured bacterium
Lineage: Bacteria
Description: partial 16S ribosomal RNA
Rfam family: Bacterial small subunit ribosomal RNA
Source: RNAcentral